AUAAAGUAACUCCUCUUUUGUGCCUUUUCACAUAAUUUAAAGAUCAGAUCACGCGAAGCUUUGGCAAGUUAAGACCAAACUGAAAGAAGCUUAGACUUCCUCUUUACCAUGACCAAAGCACUUCUUACUGUUCUUUUGAUCGUGCUUGUUACUGGCGAUUUCAUAAAUGAAAUUGACGGGCUACUCCGUGCGGGCAGGGACCGUAUUGAGAACCUACCACGUGGCCUGGAUCAGUACGAAAGAGAGGCUGACGAAAUACGUGGACCCUCAGCUUACUUUAGACGAGACAGGGUCGAAAGGCAUCAGAAGUGAACAACAACUCAAAUGAAAAUCCAGCAAAAGAAGUAAAAUGGGUGUGCUUGCAAUUGUUUCGGUUGCAUGUACUUUAAAGUUUAAAAAUCAGAAAUACGAAAGAUGUAUCAGAAAUACGAAAAUAGUAAAGACAACGAGAUCUUCGCCAUGACACUAAAUGUGUGUUUGAAAGGCCAUUUUUAGCUAAAUAAAAGCUUUUAGCUGAAUAAAAAGCUUUUGAAGAAUA
Long non-coding RNA from Orbicella faveolata, 538 nucleotides. RefSeq lists it as uncharacterized. The record is from RefSeq and is a predicted model, not a curated record. Lineage: Eukaryota; Metazoa; Cnidaria; Anthozoa; Scleractinia; Merulinidae.